GACGAACGCUGGCGGCGUGCUUAACACAUGCAAGUCGAACGGAAAGGCCCUGCUUUUGUGGGGUGCUCGAGUGGCGAACGGGUGAGUAACACGUGAGUAACCUGCCCUUGACUUUGGGAUAACUUCAGGAAACUGGGGCUAAUACCGGAUAGGAGCUCCUGCUGCAUGGUGGGGGUUGGAAAGUUUCGGCGGUUGGGGAUGGACUCGCGGCUUAUCAGCGUGUUGGUGGGGUAGUGGCUUACCAAGGCUUUGACGGGUAGCCGGCCUGAGAGGGUGACCGGCCACACUGGGACUGAGAUGCGGCACAGACUCCUACGGGAGGCAGCAGAGGGGAAGAUUGUACAAUGGGCGGAAGCCUGAUGCAGCAACGCCGCGUGCGGGAUGACGACCUUCGGGUUGUAAACCGAUGUCGCCUGUGACGAAGCGUGAGUGACGGUAAUGGGUAAAGAAGCACCGGCUAACUACGUG
RNAcentral lists this ribosomal RNA (468 nucleotides) under uncultured bacterium. Its description in RNAcentral is "partial 16S ribosomal RNA". It matches the Rfam family "Bacterial small subunit ribosomal RNA", at positions 28 to 507 of the family's 1533-position model. The record is from RNAcentral.